CGGAAUUUUCCAAAGGAGUAUUUAUUGGAGAAGACAAUGGGGAGAUUCUGGUUCCAAGGGCACUUUUUAUGAGAAAGCAGAGAAUGGCCUUGAUGGAAAUUCUUUAGUCUCUGAGGAGAAAGAUAGGAAGCAACUUGAGAAACUCAGCAUAGUAAAUCACCAGGACCAGAUGGUAUUCAGCCAAGGGUCCUGAAUGAGAUAAAGUGGGAAAUCCUGGCUUCAGUGACAAGGAUAUAUAGUAGAUGCUGAAAAAAUAGCAAAUAUCCCUGAAGAUUACAAAGUCAUUAAUAAGCACUUUGUAGACAGGGAGGCACAAUCCAAUCCACAGGCAUGCAGUCUGGGAUCCAUUCAACAAAUUUCUUUGCUACUGCUAUUUCCUGCCAGGACACCCUGCCUCUGCCUUCACCUCACCAUCUACCAACUGAUAGAUAAAUCACCUGAGAAAUAAUUUUUAAAAGAAGAGGAGAUCAUCUUGAAGAACUCUAAGUGGGUCCAAAUAUCUCUACCUAAAUACUGAAUUGGAAGAUGAAGGAAAAAUGAAUCAACACUUCAUGAGGCAAAAGAACCCAUGGACUCCUAAUAAAGAAUGGAACAAAAGCA
Molecule: long non-coding RNA, 600 nt
Filed under: Monodelphis domestica (gray short-tailed opossum)
Lineage: Eukaryota; Metazoa; Chordata; Mammalia; Didelphimorphia; Didelphidae
Description: lncRNA (ENSMODG00000043006.1)
Source: RNAcentral